RNAcentral lists this unclassified non-coding RNA (363 nucleotides) under uncultured Rhodanobacteraceae bacterium. RNAcentral describes it as "contains 16S-23S intergenic spacer region". Lineage: Bacteria; Pseudomonadati; Pseudomonadota; Gammaproteobacteria; Lysobacterales; Rhodanobacteraceae. The record is from RNAcentral.
UCCGGGUUUCGCCCGGCAGUCUCCCUAGAACAUUCAACUAAGGACAAGGGUUGCGCUCGUUGCGGGACUUAACCCAACAUCUCACGACACGAGCUGACGACAGCCAUGCAGCACCUGUGUUCUGAUUCCCGAAGGCACUCCUCGAUCUCUCAAGGAUUCCAGACAUGUCAAGGCCAGGUAAGGUUCUUCGCGUUGCAUCGAAUUAAACCACAUACUCCACCGCUUGUGCGGGCCCCCGUCAAUUCCUUUGAGUUUCAGUCUUGCGACCGUACUCCCCAGGCGGCGAACUUAACGCGUUAGCUUCGACACUGAUCUCCGAGUUGAGACCAACAUCCAGUUCGCAUCGUUUAGGGCGUGGACUAC